RNAcentral lists this ribosomal RNA (468 nucleotides) under uncultured bacterium. RNAcentral describes it as "partial 16S ribosomal RNA". It matches the Rfam family "Bacterial small subunit ribosomal RNA", at positions 28 to 507 of the family's 1533-position model. The record is from RNAcentral.
GAUGAACGCUGGCGGCGUGCUUAACACAUGCAAGUCGAACGGAAAGGCCCAAGCUUGCUUGGGUACCCGAGUGGCGAACGGGUGAGUAACACGUGGGUGAUCUGCCCUGCACUUCGGGAUAAGCCUGGGAAACUGGGUCUAAUACCGGAUAGGACGAUGGUUUGGAUGCCAUUGUGGAAAGUUUUUUCGGUGUGGGAUGAGCUCGCGGCCUAUCAGCUUGUUGGUGGGGUAAUGGCCUACCAAGGCGUCGACGGGUAGCCGGCCUGAGAGGGUGUACGGCCACAUUGGGACUGAGAUACGGCCCAGACUCCUACGGGAGGCAGCAGUGGGGAAGAUUGCACAAUGGGCGCAAGCCUGAUGCAGCGACGCCGCGUGGGGGAUGACGGCCUUCGGGUUGUAAACUCCUUUCGCUAGGGACGAAGCGUUUUUGUGACGGUACCUGGAGAAGAAGCACCGGCUAACUACGUG